UAAUGAAUUAAGAACAAUAAUGGUAAGAAACAGUAUGUGAAACCUUUGUUAAUUUCCCAGUUUUCUGCAUGAAUUGACCAUAAAAUGUGAUCUGAUCUACAUCGAAGUCACAAGUACAGACAAACACAAUGUGCUUAACGCGAUACAACACAAACAAUUAUA
Sphaeramia orbicularis (orbiculate cardinalfish) is the source of this 162-nucleotide long non-coding RNA. RefSeq lists it as uncharacterized. NCBI's taxonomy places the organism in Eukaryota, Metazoa, Chordata, Actinopteri, Kurtiformes, Apogonidae. The record is from RefSeq and is a predicted model, not a curated record. The transcript is spliced from 3 exons.